Molecule: long non-coding RNA, 564 nt
Filed under: Triticum aestivum (bread wheat)
Lineage: Eukaryota; Viridiplantae; Streptophyta; Magnoliopsida; Poales; Poaceae
Description: long non-coding RNA (TAES_LNC023085)
Source: RNAcentral
GGAUGGAGAAAUCAGGCGACGCGGAACCACACCAAGCUCCAAUACUAUCGCCUCGUGUGUUGCCUGCUCCACCUCCUUACGGAUAUGCUGCUUCUUAUCAUGUCCCAGCCGCUGGUGUCCACACUGUCCCUUGACUCUAUCUAAAGCGAGGCAGACCUUGGCUACAAGCCUCGGUCCAGCGCACGAGUGUUCGUCCUGAUUCUUCUAACUGACGAAGCUUUUGUCGAUCUUACUAUUUUCAGGUGCGACCAAUCCAAGUGUUCAUCCAUUCUGGUCUAUUUCUUUGGAUAAUUUAUGGAGGCCGUGGUUCUGGUAUUUGUAUGUAUUCGCAAAUUGUUCACAAGGCCUGGUUAGUAUCUUGGACUGCAAAAGCACAUCUCUUAGUUCUUUAAUAUGCAAUUACUUAGAUUUUAUUGUCCUAAAUGUAUGUAUCCUUAAUGCCAUGGUUUGUUACUUAUGGUUGUUGUCAAAGGAGGAAAUAAUAGGGAGGAUUGGAGAUGCACUGGGCAUGCCAUGGCAACGAAACAAAAGCUUAUUACUUCAAUUCAAUUAUGCAAGCUGAAG